This 217-nucleotide long non-coding RNA is filed under the name Ananas comosus (pineapple). RNAcentral describes it as "long non-coding RNA (ACOM_LNC029978)". The record is from RNAcentral. Lineage: Eukaryota; Viridiplantae; Streptophyta; Magnoliopsida; Poales; Bromeliaceae.
UCUCUGUCCUUUGUUUUGUUCGUUUUCUUUCUAGGUUCCUCUCCCGCUUAGGAGGCCUUAGCUGCCUUCAUUUUGUACGCUAAAUUCAUUUUCCUUAAUGAAUGAAGCAGGUAGCUUGCUACCUAUUUUCUCAAAAAAAAAAAAAAACUGUUUGAGCUUGUGAACUACUUGCACCGGGUCCGUUUCGAUCUUUCUAAAGAUUGUAUUGUUUCUGGCC